Molecule: ribosomal RNA, 50 nt
Filed under: Chromochloris zofingiensis
Lineage: Eukaryota; Viridiplantae; Chlorophyta; Chlorophyceae; Sphaeropleales; Chromochloridaceae
Description: partial 26S ribosomal RNA
Source: RNAcentral
CGACCUGAGCUCAGGCAAGAUUACCCGCUGAACUUAAGCAUAUCAAUAAG